This is a non-coding RNA of Pogona vitticeps (central bearded dragon), 72 nucleotides long. NCBI's taxonomy places the organism in Eukaryota, Metazoa, Chordata, Lepidosauria, Squamata, Agamidae. The record is from the annotation of a RefSeq genome assembly.
GCCGUGGUCGUAUAGUGGUUAGUACUCUGCACUGGGACUGCAGAAGCCUCGGUUCGAAUCCGAGUCACGGCA